GGGGUGAUUGCUCGGACAAUUGGGAGCAUCUGCCUUACAAGCAGAGGGUCGGGGAUUCGAAUCCCUCUCAGCCCACCC
This 78-nucleotide transfer RNA is filed under the name uncultured Cytophagales bacterium. Its description in RNAcentral is "tRNA-Val-TAC". It matches the Rfam family "tRNA". Rfam says of the family: Transfer RNA (tRNA) molecules are approximately 80 nucleotides in length. Their secondary structure includes four short double-helical elements and three loops (D, anti-codon, and T loops). Further hydrogen bonds mediate the characteristic L-shaped molecular structure. tRNAs have two regions of fundamental functional importance: the anti-codon, which is responsible for specific mRNA codon recognition, and the 3' end, to which the tRNAs corresponding amino acid is attached (by aminoacyl-tRNA synthetases). tRNAs cope with the degeneracy of the genetic code in two manners: having more than one tRNA (with a specific anti-codon) for a particular amino acid; and 'wobble' base-pairing, i.e. permitting non-standard base-pairing at the 3rd anti-codon position. Lineage: Bacteria; Pseudomonadati; Bacteroidota; Sphingobacteriia; Sphingobacteriales. The record is from RNAcentral.